CUGUUUAAAAAAAUACAUAUAUUUUAAUUAGGUACAACUCUAUUUUCUGUAGAUGCUGGUAUUUUCUCCUUUUUAUGGAUUUGGUAUUUGUAUUUUGUUGUUUAUAUGUACUGAUUACAUUUGCAUAGAUGAAGUGCCCUGUGGUUUCUGUCACCAGCCCUCGUGGGCAGGAACGGCUCUUGUACCAUUCUCUCCUAUGGUGCUUGGGGGAACUUCUUGUGCCCCAUGAUUGUUUUAUGAUGAUAGAGAUGACACUAGAAGAUGAAGCCAAGGGAACAUUUUUAAAAUAGGCUCUGAUGCUGUUGGGUCUUCCGUGGGUGUCUCUCCAUUUCUAGAGUAAAGAACUGAGGAAUAACCACUCUAUCAUCAUGACAAACAGCCGUGGCCAGAUAGCAAAGACUAGUGAUUUUCUAAAUCUCUACAAAAUCCUGGUCCGGUUAGCUAGAGAGGAUUGUGGAAACAAAUGAACCUGGUUCACUGACUUGGCCUCUAAUCCCAGACUGAGGUUUACCCGAAGGGCGACAGACCAAGUUCCCUUCUAUCUCUGAACAUGUCUCUAGCCCGGACGCCGUCCAUCUCCAUCACCGAAUCCCACGCUUGCCCACCACCGUGGCCAGCAGUUCAUUAGAGGGGGUGCGUUUUUCCUCCUUUAGCCCGGAUGGGCUGAUACUUGUGGAGCUAACAAGGUGUGGUUCCUGGUACGGGAACAAAGUCAGUCUGAAGUCAGCUGACCAGAAUAUCUUUCCCUCCAAUGCAGACCCAACUACUUAAAUUGGAAAUGGAGGCGGACGUCUCUUAAUUGAAGUGGCCUUGUUUAGCGGACAGAUUGACGGCCGAGGCAGAGCUCACCACCACCAGGAGGAAGUUUACUGCCUCACAGGUGCCAUCUGAUGGUAGCAGCUGAACGGAACCUUAGUAGGUCUUUUGUGACAGCUUUGAGCGCCACUGAAAAUAAGCCUCGCACAAAUUAGUUUUUCUUAGUUCGAUGCUCGGGGUUGUCCAAGGUAGGUGAGGAAUGAACAAAGGCACUUCUAGAAGGUGAUGCUUGACCUCUCUUGAGAUAAGAAGCUCACACUAGUCUUUUGCUUUCGUGGGGAAUCAAAAUUUAACAUAUCAUCUAAAAUCCUCUCUGCUUUAUGGAGCUUAGUUCACAGGUUCUAGGAGAGAAGAUGAAACUCACUUAUCUUUACCCUACACAUGGAGAGAUACUGUGCAUAAUUGCUUCAACCAAACGCUCGUUUUUUGAUUUUGAUGCAUUUUAUCUGUUUACACAAGAUCGACUCCCACCAUAAACACUGAAUUCUGUUUAUAACAGAGGGCAGUUUCUGUGGGUAGCCUAAGCAGAGCGCUCCAGGCUCUUUUUUUCUCUUUUCACAGAGACUCCAGAGGACUGUGCCUUUGCACCCGCUCACCAGCUCUCUAGUAUCCCUAAAUCAUGAUUAAUUUAAAGCUCUUUCUCUCCUUGGUUAGGCCUGACACAAGCAACUGCUUUGCUGUCACAUUGAUUUUUCUGUCCUUGCAGAUUCAAAGCCAGGGUUGAGUCCUCCUAACAGGGUGAGUUCUCUGACAAGGAAGUUUUGCAAUCGAAUUUACAGCUGGAGUCAAGCUUGUCAGUGAGGGCCAGAGGGGAACUGUCGCAAUCCACUGGUUAAGUAUGCAUUUAAUAGUGUUUAUCCAAGCAAGUUUGUGAUUUCUUCACUCUCCCCAACAAAUAUGUUAUUUGUAAUACCUAUCUUCUCUAAUCUAGGUGUUUGAAAAAUGUCUCUAACGUGUGUGGGCUAGAAUGCAUUUUGUUUUUCUGUGGGUAUAUUCAUUGAACAAGGGCAGUCUUUGAGGAACUAUCAAAAACUGCUUGUCAUCUUUCCAAAUCAUCUCUCUUUGCAGUGACCAUGACUUAAUCCUGAAGGAAAACAAGUUUCUGGAUCCAGUCUUGCAUGAAGCUACUCUGCCCUUGAACUUUUCAGGUUCACUGUUGAAUUUUAUUGAUAAUGGAUUGAUGGUAAAGGAUGUUGAUUCACACAAGACCUCCGUUCCAGCCCAGUUCUUCACUCUGGUCUUCUUAUCAAAUCUGCCAUGCUACUGGCUUAACCCCAGAUGGUCCUUGUAAGGUGGCGGCUCUACUGAGCCCAGCUGGCUGUUACUGACGGUUACUACUUUGGAGCUACAAUUCUUCCAUUCGUCAUCCAUCCCAGGUGUAGAACAACAUACCUGUGUAAUUCUCUAAAGCACCGGCUGUAGCUUUCCUCAAGAUUUAUCAAGGAUUCUAGGAUUUUUGCUAUAUGUUUGUCCUUGAAGCCUGAAAACCAUGGAGCUCUCACAAAGCACACCCCGUAUAGUCCCUGGUUUUCUUCCUGUGGUGGCCACAAUUCACCGCCCAAGGAUCCUGGGGUCCAAAAUUCACUAGGCCGAAGGAGAGAAAGAUAUUAACCCCACCAAUCUCAGGUCUACAUAAAUCUAUCCUCAAACCUGCUUUUUUUCUAUGUGAUUAUCUUCUGACAUUCAAGAGCAAUUAUGUUACUGUGUUAAGACCCAAUAUCAAGAAUUUCCUGAAAUGUGGGUUUUUCAGUUUUAGGAAAUGCUAAGUAAAGGACCUUCUAUUAGGAAAAGUUCCUGCAGGAACUAACAGAACGCAACUGUGGUUAACUUAAACAGAAAAGAAGUUUGUUGGAAGGAGUGCAGGUGGCUUCCAGAAUCAGGCUUAGAAAAGAGACGGUGACCUGUCGUAAUUAGGCUAAAGGAACAGCUGAGGUCUAGCUGCAGCAGGGAUCUGGCUAAGAAGGUGCCCCUGGAACAGCCACCUCUAGACAUUUGCAUCAGCCAUCACUACCAGACCCUCUGUUCCUUUUACCUUUAGAUCUGAAACUAGUUCUGUACAGUAGACAUUUCCAUUACAAUGAAAGUGUAUCUUUAGGGGCGCCUGGGUGGCUCAGUCAUCAAGCGUCUGCCUUUGGCUCAGGGCGUGAUCCCAGCAUUCCAGGA
Long non-coding RNA from Ailuropoda melanoleuca (giant panda), 2979 nucleotides. RefSeq lists it as uncharacterized. The record is from RefSeq and is a predicted model, not a curated record. Lineage: Eukaryota; Metazoa; Chordata; Mammalia; Carnivora; Ursidae. The transcript has 4 exons.